GUGCCUUCCGGCGCACGUUAGUUGGACGUACGCCCACUGUGGCUAUGGCUCGGGGAAGAGGACGAGCUCAUGGAAGACCUAGGUUGCAACCUUUAGCUGGUAUCAGCAAACCAGCUGAAUCUCUCAUGCAACCAGAUAAAACUCCAAUAAUUGAGAUAGUAAAGUCUCAUGUUUCAUUGGAUGGCGUAAGAAUGAAAUAACAUGAAAUUAAGGUGAUAAUACAAGGGCCUGCUAAGAGACUAGAUCUAAGUAUUAGUUCAUCUUUAAGCGGCCAAAAGGAUAAAUCAACUAAAAAAAUUUAAAGAUUUAGUGAGUACAAGCAAGAUUAUACCAGAUCCUGAACCAGUAAUUGAGAAGAAAUGGAGAACAGACGCAUGAACUUCCCUAUUUGCAGGUAACCAUAGCUUUGAGAAUGGGUUAAAACUAUCUUACAUCUCCCCUAUAAUUAUUGAUGGGAAAACUGUUGUGCAACCUGAAAAAGAGGAUGUUGAUAAAGAAAUUAUGAAAUGGAGAUGUGCUUUAAUUGUGUAUGUUAUUGGGAAAACUCCGGGUUACGACUUUAUGCAUAGAUUUGUAAAGCAGAGCUGGAAUCAAGUUUCAAAGCCAGAGGUGUUUUACCAUAUAGAAGGCUACUAUAUAGUCAAAUUUCAGUCCAUCAAUGACAUGCACAAAGUCCUCUAUUCUGGACCCUAUACAGUUAAUAACAAACCUUUUAUCCUGAAACCAUGGACUGUAAAUUGUGACUUUACAAAGAAAUUAGUCACUGAAAUUCCUCCGUGGAUGGUGCUACCAAACCUUCCUAUAAGUUGCUGGGGUGGUCAAUCACUGAGCAGAAUUUGCAAGUGCAAUAGGAAGACCUUUGUAUGAUGAUGAAUGCACUUCCAAGCAUAAGAGGAUAUCCUAUGUCCAUAUGCUCAUUGAAAUCAAUGUUACUCGACCACUUCCCUCUAGUCUUCACUGUGUGGGAACCUGAUGGGAGACAGUUUGAUCAAUCGAUAUAGUAUGACUGGAAACCAGAAUUUUGUGAAGUAUGUUUGAAAAUUGGCCACUCUUGCAAGCAAAUUGAGGUUGAUCAGCAUCCAGUUGAGCAUCCUAGAAGGAGAAGAAGACCAAAUGGAAAUACACGACUUGCUCCACAAACAGGCCCAUAACUAGUGGUAAGGGUGAUCCGAGAAUAAAGAACAAAGAAAACAGCUGAAGUGAGGGAAAAGCCUACUCAACAAUUAGAAACAAAUCAGCCAACUACAAAGACACAUGAUCAACAAGUUCUUGAGCAAGGAUAACAACCACUACCUAUUUGUGAAGAGCAGGCAAUGGUAAGAAGCAAAGAGAUUCACAAGGAGGAAAAUAUACCUCAGAGAAAUCUUGAAUUGAGCUGUACUAGCGAGUUUCAGCUUUGCCUACCAGCAUACAAAGAGUGAGCACAUCAAUAGGGAUAUCAGGUGGGAAUGAGAUUCAGAAAUGCUUGCCUGCAGCAGAUAGUGGGCCUCAUAUACUAGCCCAAUGACCUAGUAAGUGAGGAAUAUUAGAGGGAUUAACAAGAGAUAUAAACAAAAGGAUCUAAAGUUAUACUUAAAAAACAAAUACAUAAAACCAGCCGGUCUACUGGAAACUAGAGUUAAAGAAACCAGAGUCAAUAGAAUUUUCAAAAAUAUAUUAUCAGGCUGGGCAAUUCAAUGUAAUUACCAAAGUUCAGUGAAUGGAAGAAUAUGACUUACCUGGGAUCCUAAUGUAUACUGUGUGGAUAUCGAAAGAGUGUAGCCUCAGCUAAUCCAAUGCUUAGUUCAGGGUCUGAUGGAUGGUUUUGAAGCAUAUUUUACAUUAGCAUAUGGCUUUAAUACAUUAGAAUAGAGGAAUGCUCUAUGGACAAGUUUGAAUGAUAUCUCUGUCCAUAUGACUAAGCCUUGGAUAGUAACUGAAGAUUUAAAUGUCAUGUUAUACACAGGAUAUGUUGUAUUGGAAUCCAGUCAUAAUUCAUGAAAUGGCAGUCUUCUCAGACUGCAUUCAUACUCUUUUUUGAAUGAGCUGCUAUGGAAAGAAGAUUAUUAUACUUGGUCAAAUAAACGACAAGGAGCUGACAGGAUACUUAGUAUGAUUGACAGAGUAUUUGGCAAUGAUAUGUGGAGGAUGAACUGGGCAAAUGUGUGCAUUGAGCAUAACACUCCGUUGAUAUCUGAUCGCUCACAUAUGUUAUUCAAUAUAAGGUCUAUAAGACCCAAUAUUAAAUCACCUUUUCGGUUCUUUAAUGUGUGGGAAACUCAUGAGGAUUUUGAAGCAAUUAUGGAGAACAUAUGGAAGAGAUGAGCAGUUGAUGAUAAAACGGAGGACAUAUAGAAAAAAUUCAAAGCCCUUAAACCAUUUUUCAGAAGACUUAACACUGAAGAGUAUAAGGGCAUAACACGGAGAAUUGAGAAUGCUAGGUUGGAGCUCAUCACAGUGCAGAAAAAGAAGCAACAACACUACACUGACAACCUAUUAGAACAAGAGAAGUACACACUACAGGAGUUGGAGAAAUGGUCUCUAAUUGAAGAGAGCAUACUGAAGCAAAAAGCCAAGGAUAAAAUGGAUCGCUCUAGGAGAUGAUAACACUAAGUAUUUCUCUGCUAUUAUGAAAUAAAGAAGCCACAUGAAACAGAUUGUGGAGACUAUAACUAUGGAUGGAUGGAAGCUAGCUACACCUACUAGCAUCAAAGAAGAAUUCGUCAACUUUUAUAAGAAUCCGAUGGGAUCUUCUGCCAAGUCGUUGCCUGUGAUUAAUAAAGAAAUUAUGCAAAAUGGUCCCAAGCUCACUCAUGAUCAACAGCUCAGAUUAAUUGCAGAAGUUUCAGUGGAUGAGAAAUAUGAAAGUCUAUGUGUUAUCCACGAGAACAAGGUUGCUGGGUUUGAUUGCUACAAUUCAUGUUUAUUUAAAAAGGCAUGGCCGAUAAUUAAACAAGAGUAGUCCAAGAAGUUCAGGAGUUCUUCAUUUCUGUUAGGCUCGACAAAACUAUAAAUUGUACAACAAUAACCCUUGUCCCUGAAGUAAGUAAUCCAGCAACAGCAAAGGAAUUCAUAUUUAUUGUCUAUUGCACUGUCCUAUAUAAGAUCAUAUAAAAUUUUCUAGAAAAUAGAUUACAAAGAAAUUACUAGUGUCAUCAGUGAAUAUCAAGCAGACUUCAUUCCUGUGAGGAAAAUAGUAAACAACAUAAUUCUAUCCCAUGAUCUUGUUAAGGCAUACACAAGUAAUAACUUCUCUCCAAGAUGUAUGAUCAAAAUUGACCUAACAAAAGUAUAUGAUUCUGUUGAAUGGAUUUUUUUAGCAUGUGAUGGUAGAACUGAUAUUCCCUAUUGGAUUACAAUAGUGGGUGCUAGCUUAUGUGAAAACAUUGAGCUACUCUAUAAUUAUAAAUGGGGAACCUUCAGAACCAUUCCAACAGCUAAAGGGUUGAGGCAGGGAGAUCCGAAGUUUCCUUUCCUUUUUGCAAAAGCUAUGGAGUACUUGAGUCGAUGCCUAAAUGGAUUGAAAAAGAAUAGUGUAUUUAAACAUCAUCCCAGAUGUUCCAAGCUGGGAGUCACUCAUCUUAGCUUUACAGAUGACCUACUACUCUUUCAAGGGGUGAUAAGUCAUCAGUCACUCAACUGCAACAAUGCCUAAAUCAAUUUUACGAGGCUUUAGGCUUGAAAGCUAAUCAAAAGAAGAGUUCAAUCUAUUUGGGGGGUGUUGACACAAUUGGUAAGAGAAGAGAUACUACAUAAGUUAGGAUAUGCUAGAGGUAGAUUACCAGUCAAGUAUUUAGGAGUCCUCCCGUCCACAAAGAAGAUGUCAAUAGCUCAAUGGCAACCCUUGAUUGAGAAAAUAGUGGCAAAAAUAAUAUCAUGGACUGCUAAAAAUCUCUCGUAUGUUAGUCAUAUACAUUUGCAGUCUAUUUUGUUUGGUAUCCAGUCAUAUUGGUCACAGUUGUUCUUGAUCCCUAGUAAAGUGCUGAAGCCAAUUGAAGCUUACUGCAUUUGCUAUGUCCGGUCAGGAGAAAAUGUCCUCAGAUCAUUAGUAGCAUGGGAGAAGAUAUGUACACCUAAAAGUGCAGGUGGGCUUGAUCUAAUCAAACUCAAAGUCUGGAACAUAGCAACAACAUCAAAGAAUCACUGGAAUCUAGCAAACAAAGGAGACAAAAUAUGGAUAAAAUGGGUAAAUGCCUAUUAUAUAAAAAGGAAAAAAAAUUAUGAUAUGCCAAUACCUCAGCAGGCCUCUUAGCUAGUUAGAAAGAUGAUUGAGGCAAGAGACUUGGUGGAACCAACACAAAUUCUUACCAAGAGCAACAAUAGCAUGAUCAGACAAAUAUAUUAUAUGAUGCUUGGCCAUUUACCUAGAGUGGAAGGAAAGGUGUUUAUGUUCAGAAAUGACACAAGGGCUAAAGUUAAAUUCACCAUGUCGUUGUAUCUUCGGGACAUGAUGAUGACUAGUGAUAAGCUGUCUCGAUGGGGAAUGCAGUUGGACACCUU
Molecule: long non-coding RNA, 4479 nt
Filed under: Nicotiana benthamiana
Lineage: Eukaryota; Viridiplantae; Streptophyta; Magnoliopsida; Solanales; Solanaceae
Description: long non-coding RNA (NBEN_LNC003056)
Source: RNAcentral